GUAUGCACAUUUUUUGACAUCGGUUGGCAAUUCAUGUGUAUUUAUCUUUAUUUUAACAUACUUCUAACUUUUAACUAUGACCAGUGCUUCUUGAAUUAUCUUUGAAGGUUUGGAAUCUUCAACCCAGCAGUCGUGUAUGAUCACCUGGGAGAAAUUUAUUCAGCACUUAUUCUGGGAAGCUUAGUGUUCUGCAUUUUGUUUUACUUGAAAGGUCAUUUGGCACCAUCUUCUUCGGAUUCUGGUUCAUUAGGGAACUUCAUAAUUGAUUUUUAUUGGGGCAUGGAACUGUAUCCUCGUAUCAGCAAAAACUUUGACAUCAAGGUUUUUACAAACUGCCGAUUUGGUAUGAUGUCCUGGGU
Long non-coding RNA from Zingiber officinale, 359 nucleotides. RefSeq lists it as uncharacterized. Lineage: Eukaryota; Viridiplantae; Streptophyta; Magnoliopsida; Zingiberales; Zingiberaceae. The transcript has 3 exons. The record is from RefSeq and is a predicted model, not a curated record.